AACGGAGCUCCAAGCAGCAACAGAAAGCCCAGGGACACCUCAUAGCAACAGCUAGCCGGGGCACCUAGUAGGAAGCUGGGAUUCAUUCCAACCAACCAGAUCACGUUUCUGUACCCCGUGGUACCAUUCUCGGCCAAUAGAGAGCCACUUCAUGCCACGUGACACCCAACCGUCAGCCAAUGGAGGAAACUCUAGACGCAGGAUCAACCAACUCACCUCCCUUUGCCUGGACAGGCUGGGCGUUUGCUUCUGCGCACUCUCUGCCAACCAAUCGUAGGAGAGAGGAGAGAAUUGAGACGGACCCGUUGUGAUUGAGCACCUUGGUUAUUUAUAACUGUAUCAUUCCUGCUUCCACCAUUGUCACAUCUGCUGACCUUCCUGACAUAUUUCAUUGCUCUCAUGCAACAGGAGAGCCUUUUGAGAAGAACCAAAAGGAUACAUAUAGAAAGAAGAUCAAAAUUAAACAUACUGGAAAAAAUUAAACAUAUGGAAUCAUUGAAGAUAUUUAUAAAGUCUAUUCUUCCAAAGAAGCUGAAAUUUGAUGAUAUGAAGGUCUGAAAACCUGCCAUCCAAAGGUAGAUUGUUUGAGGUUGAAUUUUUUUGUUUAUUGUUUUCAAUUCCAGGCACUAAACUGGGUAUCUUUACAUAUCUUAUUUCAUGUAUUCACCAUAAAACUUGCAAAAAUGAAGGAACUCACCAACAGCAUGCAUAUCUCUUUAGUAGAUAUGGGUAGAUAUUUAUAAAUGUGUGUU
This 752-nucleotide long non-coding RNA is filed under the name Ursus maritimus (polar bear). RNAcentral describes it as "lncRNA (ENSUMAG00000025198.1)". Lineage: Eukaryota; Metazoa; Chordata; Mammalia; Carnivora; Ursidae. The record is from RNAcentral.